This is a long non-coding RNA of Oncorhynchus tshawytscha (Chinook salmon), 3490 nucleotides long. NCBI's taxonomy places the organism in Eukaryota, Metazoa, Chordata, Actinopteri, Salmoniformes, Salmonidae. The record is from Ensembl.
AGGACCUCGGCGUUACACUGGAACCUGAUCUCUCUUUUGAAGAACAUAUCAAGACUGUUUCAAGGACAACUUUUUUCCAUCUACGUAACAUUGCAAAAAUCAGAAACUUUCUGUCCAAAAAUGAUGCAGAAAAAUUAAUCAAUGCUUUUGUAACUUCUAGGUUAGACUACUGCAAUGCUCUACUUUCUGGCUACCUGGAUAAAGCACUAAAUAAACUUCAGUUAGUGCUAAAUACAGCUGCUAGAAUCCUGACUAGAACCAAAAAAUAUUGAUCAUAUUACUCCAGUGCUAGCCUCCCUACACUGGCUUCCUGUCAAGGCAAGGGCUGAUUUCAAGGUUUUACUUCUAACCUACAAAGCAUUACAUGGGCUUGCUCCUACCUAUCUCUCUGAUUUGGUCCUGCCGUACAUACCUACACGUACGCUACGGUCAUAAGACGCAGGCCUCCUAAUUGUCCCUAGAAUUUCUAAGCAAACAGCUGGAGGCAGGGCUUUCUCCUAUAGAGCUCCAUUUUUAUGGAAUGGUCUGCCUACCCGUGUAAGAGACGCAACCUCGGUCUCAACCUUUAAGUCUUUACUGAAGACUCAUCUCUUCAGUGAUGAAGAGAUGAUAUGAUUGAGUGUAGUCUGGCCCAGGAGUGUGAAGGUGAACGGAAAGGCUCUGGAGCAACGAACUGCCUUUGUUGUCUCUGCCUGGCCGGUUCCCCUCUUUCCACUGGGAUUCUCUGCCUCUAACCCUAUUACAGGGGCUGAGUCACUGGCUUACUGGUGCUCUUUCUUGCCGUCCCUAGGAGGGGUGCGUCACUUGAGUGGGUUGAGUCACUGAUGUGAUCUUUCUGUCUGGGUUGGCGCCCCGCCUUGGGUUGUGCCGUGGUGGAGAUCUUUGUGGGCUAUACUCGGCCUUGUCUCAGGAUGUCCACCUGGCCGUGCUGCUGCUCCUGUUUCAACUGUUCUGCCAGUGAUUAUUAUUUGACCAUGCUGGUCAUUUAUGAACAUUUGAACAUCUUGGCCAUGUUCUGUUAUAAUUUCCACCCGGCACAGCCAGAAGAGGACUUGCCACCCCACAUAGCCUGGUUCCUCUUUAGGUUUCUUCUUAGGUUUUGGCGUUUCUAGGGAGUUUUUCCUAGCCACCGUGCUUCUACACCUGCAUUGCCCACCCCCCCCCUAGACCAGAUGGAGAAUUCAAUAAAUCCAUUUUUUUUAAAAAGUGAAUAAAAGACUUGCUAAAAGUUCCAAAAUGUUGCAUUUUGACAUGUCCCUCCAUCAACCCUGUGUCACUUCUUGUAAGAUUUUAACACAUUUAAUCCCCCAAAUUGUUCAAGUUUCACCAUCAUUGUAAAGCCUUAGUUAUUUUGUUCCUUUGACAAAGUAAUUUCUUAAGAUUUUUCUUUCUUUAAUGUGAUUAGUGAUUCAUUUACAUAUGUUCCUAAUUUUAAGGUCAACCCUGUUAUUAAGUGAACUGAACUCUCCUUUUAAUAUGGUGAAACUAUUCCUUUGAAAAAAAAAUCCAAAGAAACAGCAAACAUCCAAAUCAUAAUGUAAAAGCAGGUGAGCUGGUUUGACUCUUUAUGUCCAUUUUCUGGUGUAAAGCUGAGCGGGUCGAGCAUGCUACAUCAACCCUGUUACCCAUAGAUAGACAGGCCAGUAGUGUUCUAACAAUUUGUAAAAAAAAAUUGUAAACAAGUAUUUAUAAUUAUGAGGCAUUCAAUUGCCACUCCCUGUUUGUUGCACACAACAAGAUCCAUUCUCUCUGUCACAAGGUGAUUUAUGGCUGAUUUAAGAUUAAAUCGUCAAACCUGUUACGGUCAACCCUGUUAUUUUAUUUGGCAUUUAAAAGGCACUUACUACAGUAUUUAAAAAAAUGUUUUAACCUCGAGAUAGAAAACCGUUUUAUUAAGUUGAACAUGUGCUCUUUAUGACAAAAAUGUUAAACGGCACUGAAUUGGUGGAACGACCCAGCUAGCUUGAUAAAACAGUGCUGAUAAUUUCAUUUUGCCUAGCUAGCUAAAUUGUGCAGCCAGCAUUUUGUCUAUGUUGAUGCUUUUACAAUAACCAAACAGUUUGAUAAAAUUGUUUUGUUGAAGUUUGUGAAACUAUAUGAUGCAAAUGUAUGACAGGGUUGGAUGUUGCGUACAAUCUGAAUCUUGUUUGAGUUGCUUUGUGUAUCAACACAUUUGCUUGAGAUGAUCAAGACAUUGUGUCCAAGUUGCUUGACAUAAAUGUUUCAAAUAACUGUCAAUCUUUUAGCUCCCCGCCAACUCAGACUGGUCCUUCAGCCUAACUGAACGUUAGAGAUGAGAGAAAUGGACAUUCCUGCAAAGAAACCACUACUAAAGCACACCAAUAAGAAGGAGAUACUUGCUUGGGCCAAGAAACAUGAGCAAUGAACAUUAGACAGGUGGAAAUCUGUCCAGUGGUCUUUUUGGUUCCAACCGCUGUGUCUUUGUGAGACACAGAGUAGGUGAACGAAGGAUCUCUGCAUGUGUGGUUCCCACCGUGAAGCAUGGAGGAGGAGGUGAGAUGGUGUGGGGGUGCUUUGCUGGUGACACUGUCUGUGAUUUAUUUAGAAUUCAAGGCACACUUAACCAGCAUGGCUACCACAGCAUUCAGCACCGAUACGCCAUCCCAUCUGGUUUGUGCUUAGUGGGACAAUAUUUUUUUUGCAAAAGGACAAUGACCCAACACACCUCCAGGCUGUGUAAGGGCUAUUUGACCAAGAAGGAGAGUGAUUGAGUGCUUCAUCAGAUGACCUGUCCUCCACAAUCACCUGACCUCAACCCAAUUGAGAUGGUUUGGAAUGAGUUGGACUGCAGAGUGAAGGAAAAGCAGCCAACAAGUGCUCAGCAUAUAUUUUUUAUUCAACCUUUAUUUAACUAGGCAAGUCAGUUGAGAACAAAUUCUUAUUUACAAUAAAGGCAAAGAGUGGCUACUCUGAAGAAUCUGAAAUAUAUUUUGAUUUGUUUAACACUUUUUUGGUUACUGUAACGUCUGCUCCCGACUCACACUCCAAACACCUGAAUUCUAAUCACCUGCUCACACAAGGGUGUGUCAUUAUCACACACUAUUUAGUUCAGGUCUUUGCACCCCAUCACUGUGAGGUAUUGUUUGUUUUGUGACACAGGUCUUUCUGGUUUCCCAGUGAUUUACUCCUCCCGUGUAUGAUAGUUUUGGCUUCUCACUACCUUUUUGCCUAUUACCUGCCUGUACUUUCGGAUUUCCUGUUCUCUACCUAUUGCCUGAUCUCCCAGACUACUUUACUAGCCUUUUCCCUGCCUGUACUGUUGCCCUUUUGGAUCCCCUGUGUAUGACGAUUAUUCUAGGUGCUUCUACACCUGUAUUGCUUGCUGUCUGGGUUUCUGUACAGCACUUUGAGAUAUCAGCUGAUGUACAAAGGGCUAUAUAAAUACAUUUGAUUUGAUUUGAUGACCUUCUGCCUGCCCCUGGACCCAGCUACCUGCCUCCUCCUGUGGUCCUUUGCAAUAAACACCUGC